This 858-nucleotide non-coding RNA is filed under the name Pongo abelii (Sumatran orangutan). Lineage: Eukaryota; Metazoa; Chordata; Mammalia; Primates; Hominidae. The record is from RNAcentral.
CCGUCAUGGCUACUGUCAGUGAGGGCCCGUAAUGGAGAUCGAGUCAAGGGUUGCCCAGGGACACUUAGACCCUUCGGCUUCAAGGAGGCCUCUCAAAGGACAAAGGAUGAGACUGCCUGGCGGCAGAGUGCCCCCCACAAUCCUAGGAACUGUGUCGCCGCGCUUCCCGUUAACUUGCCGCUAAGUUUUUCUAGAAAAGUCGCCCUUCUUGCCAGGGGUGUCCUAUAGACUUUGUCAUGGAGUGAAACAGAAACAAAUACUUCAUAUACCCCUCAUGAUGUCAUGAGAUGACUGUUUGGAUUAAUCAUCUUCAGACCAAGACUCUUCAGCUGGCUUUGCUUUUUCAGAGGAAACAGAGACUCUCAGACAUGAAUACUGUGACACUGACCACCAGGCCAACUUAACAUCAGCAGAUAUCCUGUCUCAGAUGAAGAGAAUGGCCUGUCCAGAAGACAGCCAAAUACAUCCUUCAAAUAGACUUCACUGCAGGAGACAGAGUGGAUUCAUCCCGUAUUCUCCACAUGGACUUCCAUCUUCAUGAGUACUCCAAGAAGGUGGUUCAGUUGACUAUUGCAAAGUCUCAGGUAUGUCUUUAUCAGCAGCAUGAAAACGGACUAAUAGUACCAGUAGAGUGGGGCAUUGCUGAAAAGAUACCCGAAAAUGUGGAAGCAACUUUGGAACUGGGUGUUGAAAUAAUCUGGAGGGCUCAGAAGAAGAUAGGAAAAUGUGGGAAAGUUUGGAACCUCCUAGAGACUUGUGAAUGGCAUUGACAAAAAUACUGAUAGUGAUAUGAACAAUAAGGUCCAGGCUGAGGUGGUCUCAGAUGGAGAUGAAGACCUUGUUGGGAACUGGAGUAAA